RNAcentral lists this ribosomal RNA (521 nucleotides) under uncultured bacterium. Its description in RNAcentral is "bacterial SSU rRNA". It matches the Rfam family "Bacterial small subunit ribosomal RNA", at positions 8 to 518 of the family's 1533-position model. The record is from RNAcentral.
AGGGUUCGAUUCUGGCUCAGGAUGAACGCUAGCUACAGGCUUAACACAUGCAAGUCGAGGGGCAGCAGGACGAUAGCUUGCUAUGUUGCUGGCGACCGGCGCACGGGUGAGUAACGCGUAUCCAACCUUCCCCUUAGUAGGGCAUAGCCCGGUGAAAAUCGGAUUAAUACCCUAUGUUGUGUCAUGAGGACAUCUGAAUAACACUAAAGAUUUAUCGCUAAGGGAUGGGGAUGCGUCCGAUUAGGUAGUCGGCGGGGUAACGGCCCACCGAGCCCUCGAUCGGUAGGGGUUCUGAGAGGAAGGUCCCCCACACUGGUACUGAGACACGGACCAGACUCCUACGGGAGGCAGCAGUGAGGAAUAUUGGUCAAUGGGCGUAAGCCUGAACCAGCCAAGUAGCCGUGCAGGAUGACGGCCCUAUGGGCUGUAAACUGCUUUUAUACGGGGAUAAAGUGAGGGACGUGUCCCUUAUUGUAGGUACCGUAUGAAUAAGGACCGGCUAAUUCCGUGCCAGCCGCCGC